CCUACGGGUGGCAGCAGUGAGGAAUAUUGGUCAAUGGGCGAAAGCCUGAACCAGCCAAGUAGCGUGCAGGAUGACGGCCCUACGGGUUGUAAACUGCUUUUAUACGGGAAUAACGCGCCUUACGUGUAGGGCUUUGCAUGUACCGUAUGAUUAAGGACCGGCUAAUUCCGUGCCAGCAGCCGCGGUAAUACGGAGGGUCCGGGCGUUAGACGGAUUUAUUGGGUUUAAAGGGAGCGUAGGCGGCAUGUUAAGUUCGCUGUGAAAUGUUCGGGCUCAACCCGGACAGUGCAAGGGGUACUGGCAGGCUUGAGUACACGUAAAGAAGGCGGAAUUCGUGGUGUAGCGGUGAAAUGCUUAGAUAUGACGAAGAACCCCGAUUGCGAAGGCAGCUUGCUGCAGCGUAACUGACGCUGAUGCUCGAAAGCGCGGGUAUCGAACAGGAUUAGAUACCCCAGUAGUC
This 460-nucleotide ribosomal RNA is filed under the name uncultured bacterium. Its description in RNAcentral is "partial 16S ribosomal RNA". It matches the Rfam family "Bacterial small subunit ribosomal RNA", at positions 338 to 795 of the family's 1533-position model. The record is from RNAcentral.